Molecule: ribosomal RNA, 112 nt
Filed under: Candidatus Pacearchaeota archaeon
Lineage: Archaea; Nanobdellati
Source: RNAcentral
GAAGACGGCCAUAGUAAGCAGGAAACACCUCUUCCCGUCAGAUCAGAGAAGUUAAGCUGCCUACGUUUUAGGUUGUACUCUCUAACGAGGGGAAUCCUAAAAGCUGUCUUCG